GUCGAGCGGCAGCACGGGUACUUGUACCUGGUGGCGAGCGGCGGACGGGUGAGUAAUGCCUAGGAAUCUGCCUGGUAGUGGGGGAUAACGCUCGGAAACGGACGCUAAUACCGCAUACGUCCUACGGGAGAAAGCAGGGGACCUUCGGGCCUUGCGCUAUCAGAUGAGCCUAGGUCGGAUUAGCUAGUUGGUGAGGUAAUGGCUCACCAAGGCGACGAUCCGUAACUGGUCUGAGAGGAUGAUCAGUCACACUGGAACUGAGACACGGUCCAGACUCCUACGGGAGGCAGCAGUGGGGAAUAUUGGACAAUGGGCGAAAGCCUGAUCCAGCCAUGCCGCGUGUGUGAAGAAGGUCUUCGGAUUGUAAAGCACUUUAAGUUGGGAGGAAGGGCAGUUACCUAAUACGUGAUUGUUUUGACGUUACCGACAGAAUAAGCACCGGCUAACUCUGUGCCAGCAGCCGCGGUAAUACAGAGGGUGCAAGCGUUAAUCGGAAUUACUG
Molecule: ribosomal RNA, 502 nt
Filed under: Pseudomonas sp.
Lineage: Bacteria; Pseudomonadati; Pseudomonadota; Gammaproteobacteria; Pseudomonadales; Pseudomonadaceae
Description: bacterial SSU rRNA
Rfam family: Bacterial small subunit ribosomal RNA
Source: RNAcentral